Molecule: ribosomal RNA, 445 nt
Filed under: uncultured bacterium
Lineage: Bacteria
Description: partial 16S ribosomal RNA
Rfam family: Bacterial small subunit ribosomal RNA
Source: RNAcentral
GUGAGGAAUAUUGCGCAAUGGAGGCAACUCUGACGCAGCCAUGCCGCGUGCAGGAAGAAGGCGCUACGCGUUGUAAACUGCUUUUAACCGGGAAGAAACCCCAGGACGUGUCCUGGGUUGACGGUACCGGAGGAAUAAGCACCGGCUAACUUCGUGCCAGCAGCCGCGGUAAUACGAAGGGUGCAAGCGUUAUCCGGAUUCAUUGGGUUUAAAGGGUGCGUAGGCGGAGCGUUAAGUCAGUGGUGAAAUCCUGCAGCUUAACUGUAGACUUGCCAUUGAUACUGGCGCGCGUGAGUGCGCUUGAAGUGGGCGGAAUGUGCCGUGUAGCGGUGAAAUGCUUAGAUAUGGCACAGAACACCAAUUGCGAAGGCAGCUCACUAAGGCGAUACUGACGCUGAGGCACGAAAGCGUGGGGAUCGAACAGGAUUAGAAACCCCAGUAGUCC